GCCCCCUUCGUCUAUCGGUCAGGACGCCAGGUUCUCAUCCUGGUAAGGUGGGUUCGACUCCCGCAGGGGGCGCCA
This 75-nucleotide transfer RNA is filed under the name Verrucomicrobiota bacterium. Its description in RNAcentral is "Verrucomicrobia bacterium (groundwater metagenome) tRNA-Glu". It matches the Rfam family "tRNA". Rfam says of the family: Transfer RNA (tRNA) molecules are approximately 80 nucleotides in length. Their secondary structure includes four short double-helical elements and three loops (D, anti-codon, and T loops). RNAcentral also lists the same sequence under 2 other names. Lineage: Bacteria; Pseudomonadati; Verrucomicrobiota. The record is from RNAcentral.